Molecule: ribosomal RNA, 329 nt
Filed under: uncultured eukaryote
Lineage: Eukaryota
Description: partial 18S ribosomal RNA
Rfam family: Eukaryotic small subunit ribosomal RNA
Source: RNAcentral
CCCUUAGAUGUUCUGGGCCGCACGCGCGCUACACUGAUGCAUUCAACGAGUCUAAAACCUGCUCUGAUAGGGGUGGGUAAUCUUUUGAAUGUGCAUCGUGAUUGGGAUAGAUGAUUGCAAUUUUUCAUCUUCAACGAGGAAUGCCUAGUAAACGCAAGUCAUCAGUUUGCAUUGAUUACGUCCCUGCCCUUUGUACACACCGCCCGUCGCUCCUACCGAUUGAAUGAUCCGAUGAAUAUCAUGGAUUGAGGAUGCAAGUAGGUUCGCCUAUCUUCAUCUUCGAGAAGUGAAGUAAAUCUUAUCAUUUAGAGGAAGGAGAAGUCGUAACA